AUUGAACGCUGGCGGUAGGCCUAACACAUGCAAGUCGAACGGCAGCACAGUAAGAGCUUGCUCUUAUGGGUGGCGAGUGGCGGACGGGUGAGGAAUACAUCGGAACGUGUCCUGGAGUGGGGGAUAGCUCGGCGAAAGCCGGAUUAAUACCGCAUACGCUCUGAGGAGGAAAGCGGGGGACCUUCGGGCCUCGCGCUGCG
Molecule: ribosomal RNA, 200 nt
Filed under: uncultured bacterium
Lineage: Bacteria
Description: partial 16S ribosomal RNA
Rfam family: Bacterial small subunit ribosomal RNA
Source: RNAcentral